Molecule: ribosomal RNA, 233 nt
Filed under: uncultured bacterium
Lineage: Bacteria
Description: partial 16S ribosomal RNA
Rfam family: Bacterial small subunit ribosomal RNA
Source: RNAcentral
CCUGUCCUACGGGGCGCAGCAGUGGGGAAUAUUGCACAAUGGGGGAAACCCUGAUGCAGCGACGCCGCGUGGGCGAGGAAGUACCUCGGUAUGUAAAGCUCUAUCGGCAGGGAAGAAAAAGCGCGCGAGCGCCCUUGACAGUACCUGACUAAGAAGCCCCGGCUAACUACGUGCCAGCAGCCGCGGUAAUACGUAGGGGGCAAGCGUUAUCCGGCUUUACUGGGUGUAAAGGG